AUGACAUGGCUUGGUGAACAAUGUUCUCAGAAGAUUAUAGCAACUCAUUCAAGGAAAUGCAUCGACAUGGGGCAGAAAGCUGCUCGUAAAGCAAUUUCACAGCAAAUUUGUGGUUGGAUCCGGAUAUGUUUUCAGUCGUAUUUUUUAAAUGCAGUACAGGCAAAGCUUUCCGCUCUCACCCGCUGUGCGCUUCACUCUGCUGAAGCCCGACUCAUUUUCUUCCCACCUCACAUAGACACAGGAUGAAGUCGAGCAGAAACAACAAGACUGAGGAUCAGCGGAGGUCCAGCACACUGGGCUCAUGUCUCCUCUCUGUGGCCUUGUAUUUACCGCUCUGACAACUUUUCUAUUUAACUGGGGGGUUUUUCUACAUAUGCACUCUUAUUUUCAAGGAUUCUCCAAUGUGAGGGUUGCUGCGGCUGCUGCUGGCGCGUGUUUGUAUGUUUAGUGACCGGUUGUGUGAUUUCAGCUGGAAUAAACUCUGUCUGACACCGCGGUCGGUCCUGGUUCAAAGGCUUGAGGAAGCGUGUGUGUGUAUGUGGAUCCAGAGGGAUGUGCUAAAGCACUGAUUAGUCUCUUGUGCUCGUGCUGUUGUCUUUACCUGCUGGCAUCUGCCAAGUCCGUUCACCCACACGCUUGUUCAUUGACCUUAAUAAGUCAAGCACAUACUCAAUUGUCCAUUUCUUCUGCCAGGCUGGAGAUAAUGAAGGUGCCCUCGCCCGGACCUAAUGUACUCCUUGUUUCAGUGGAACUUAAGGAUGAUGUGAUGAGUAAUUAUCUUGAUGUUAAAAAACUUUCUCUAACCUUGUUUAAUGUGCAAAGAGUGUAAGCUGUAAGUAAGCCAUUGUAGGCUUAGACAUUCAGAAUUAGUUUAUCUUUGCUUUAUUUUUCUCUUUAUUGUUGCGGUUUUGCUGAGUAGAGCUGAUGCAUUUACAAGGCCUUUUGCUGUUCUCAGUGCUUUUACAAUAAUGAGCUAGAACCUGAAGGUAACUUGAUUUUGUAACAUAUAGACAUCUUUAGACCUUCAGUUCUAAAUCACAGUGUGAAUAUGAUGAUAUCCUCAACAUGAAACCGUGUGCUUCACAUCUUUGAUCUGGAUCUGUCUGCUAAAUCAAUAUCUCUUUAUUUAUGCCUGCCUUAUUUAUGUUUAUUGAAAUGCAAUAAAAUAAUGAAAUUGAACACGUUUUUUACAGUAUGUUUUCGUCAGCUUUGAUGCAGCAAAUUCAAAUAAAUUAAUGCAAACUCUUCUGAUUAUUA
Molecule: long non-coding RNA, 1257 nt
Organism: Cyprinus carpio carpio
Lineage: Eukaryota; Metazoa; Chordata; Actinopteri; Cypriniformes; Cyprinidae
Source: Ensembl